GCCCCCGUAGCUCAGGGGAUAGAGCAACGGUUUCCUAAACCGUGUGUCGGAGGUUCGAAUCCUCUCGGGGGCACCA
RNAcentral lists this transfer RNA (76 nucleotides) under Thalassiella azotivora. RNAcentral describes it as "tRNA-Arg". It matches the Rfam family "tRNA". From Rfam's summary of the family: Transfer RNA (tRNA) molecules are approximately 80 nucleotides in length. Their secondary structure includes four short double-helical elements and three loops (D, anti-codon, and T loops). Further hydrogen bonds mediate the characteristic L-shaped molecular structure. tRNAs have two regions of fundamental functional importance: the anti-codon, which is responsible for specific mRNA codon recognition, and the 3' end, to which the tRNAs corresponding amino acid is attached (by aminoacyl-tRNA synthetases). tRNAs cope with the degeneracy of the genetic code in two manners: having more than one tRNA (with a specific anti-codon) for a particular amino acid; and 'wobble' base-pairing, i.e. permitting non-standard base-pairing at the 3rd anti-codon position. Lineage: Bacteria; Bacillati; Actinomycetota; Actinomycetes; Kineosporiales; Kineosporiaceae. RNAcentral also lists the same sequence under 3 other names. The record is from RNAcentral.